This 1216-nucleotide long non-coding RNA is filed under the name Homo sapiens (human). Its description in RNAcentral is "non-protein coding LINC-PINT:100". The record is from RNAcentral. Lineage: Eukaryota; Metazoa; Chordata; Mammalia; Primates; Hominidae.
CCCGGUCGCCGGGGAGUGCCAUGGCAGGGAGGCGGCAGCCACGUGAGGGGUCUGCGGAAGCGCCGGAGCUGAAAGCUGGGGGCGAAGCAUUUUAUUAAUGCUUUUACGAGUUAGAAGAGUUGGGAUAAUUUGCCAUCUGGAGUUUCUCUGCCUUGCUGAUCUGAGCUCAGACCUGCCAAUUUACCAGAGAUAAUUGAUAACACCCUGUAACAGCUGAGAGGAAAAUGGAAGAAACGGAGAUACUUUUAGUGAAGCAGAAUAAACCACUGAACAGAUGGAGUCUCACUCUGUUGCCCAGACUGGAAUGCAGUGGUGUGAUCUCAACUGACUGCAACCUCCGUAUCCUGGGUUCAAGCAACUCUCCUGCUGCAGCCACGAAAAAUGAGGAAGCUGUGAGUACCAGUGGAAGGAACGAGCCAGGAAGAGGGACUGGAACCAUCUCAGAAGCCAUGCCCCUCAGGCUGGAACUUGCCCUGUCUCCUCGCAGAUGAGCUACCUCUUGUGUUUAAGAAUUAAAGGAAGAUGAGCUAGGAAUCAAGAAAUACGCAGAACUGAUUCCUGUCACUGGCGCCACCCUGCCACUUGCCCAGAGCUGUGGUAUAAAUUUUUUUAAUAGGCUGAAAUAAAAAUAUGAAUAGCAUUUUGGUAUUAAGCAUUAAAUUGAUAAAGGCUAUGAGAUACACCUGCUCUCAACCAUGUUAAUUUUUUAUUAUUGGUAUUAAUAAAUUAUUACUUACUAACAUAUUAACAAGAAUUGCAUUGAGAAACAAAGCAUCCACAGGCCAAAUCUUCUGAAUUUCAAAUGUUUAUAUUAAUGCGUUGUAUUCUAGAAAAGUAGAAUUGUCUUAAGUAGCUUUGUAAUAUAAAGUCAUCUAUCAGCCCAUUACACCUAUUAGAAUGUUUUAACCUUUAUUUCCCACUUUUUUGUUUCUAGACUGAGUGUACUUGGUCUGGUAUUUGUGGCAUAACUUACGGAACACAUAAGAAUGAUACAGAUACUAUUUAAUGAUGACCUAAUACAAGCUUAGAUAGCUAAGGUGAAAGCUUCUAUGGCCUUAACAUUUUCCUCUUGAAGAAUGUAUUUUCUGUAAUAAAAUACAGUGGCUACUUGAAAUCUAUAAACUUAUGUGAGGUCUGGAUAAAUCUGAGCAACUUUCUUCUUUGUGCUCCAGGAACCUACGCACUAUAUAUAUAAAUAAAGCUUAAGUAAACAUCA